RNAcentral lists this ribosomal RNA (275 nucleotides) under uncultured eukaryote. RNAcentral describes it as "partial small subunit ribosomal RNA". It matches the Rfam family "Eukaryotic small subunit ribosomal RNA", at positions 1161 to 1452 of the family's 1831-position model. The record is from RNAcentral.
AGGGCACCACCAGGAGUGGAGCCUGCGGCUUAAUUUGACUCAACACGGGGAAACUCACCAGGUCCAGACACAAUAAGGAUUGACAGAUUGAGAGCUCUUUCUUGAUUUUGUGGGUGGUGGUGCAUGGCCGUUCUUAGUUGGUGGAGUGAUUUGUCUGCUUAAUUGCGAUAACGAACGAGACCUUAACCUGCUAAAUAGUGCGACCAGCGGAUUUUAGCUGGUGGAGACACUUCUUAGAGGGACUAUCUAUUUCAAGUAGAUGGAAGUUUGAGGCA